Molecule: ribosomal RNA, 371 nt
Filed under: uncultured bacterium
Lineage: Bacteria
Description: bacterial SSU rRNA
Rfam family: Bacterial small subunit ribosomal RNA
Source: RNAcentral
AACGAACGCUGGCGGCAUGCCUAACACAUGCAAGUCGAACGAGACCUUCGGGUCUAGUGGCGCACGGGUGCGUAACGCGUGGGAAUCUGCCCUUGGGUUCGGGAUAACAGUUGGAAACGACUGCUAAUACCGGAUGAUGACUUCGGUCCAAAGAUUUAUCGCCCAGGGAUGAGCCCGCGUAGGAUUAGCUUGUUGGUGAGGUAAGAGCUCACCAAGGCGACGAUCCUUAGCUGGUCUGAGAGGAUGAUCAGCCACACUGGGACUGAGACACGGCCCAGACUCCUACGGGAGGCAGCAGUGGGGAAGUAUUGGACAAUGGGCGAAAGCCUGAUCCAGCAAUGCCGCGUGAGUGAUGAAGGCCUUAGGGUUGU